RNAcentral lists this non-coding RNA (99 nucleotides) under Clostridium pasteurianum. RNAcentral describes it as "TPP sequence". It matches the Rfam family "TPP riboswitch aptamer (THI element)". From Rfam's summary of the family: Vitamin B(1) in its active form thiamin pyrophosphate (TPP) is an essential coenzyme that is synthesised by coupling of pyrimidine and thiazole moieties in bacteria. The previously detected thiamin-regulatory element, thi box was extended, resulting in a new, highly conserved RNA secondary structure, the THI element, which is widely distributed in eubacteria and also occurs in some archaea. Analysis of operon structures identified a large number of new candidate thiamin-regulated genes, mostly transporters, in various prokaryotic organisms. Lineage: Bacteria; Bacillati; Bacillota; Clostridia; Eubacteriales; Clostridiaceae. The record is from RNAcentral. RNAcentral also lists the same sequence under 1 other name.
AUUAUUUGCUAGGGGUGCCGUAAGGCUGAGAAGGAGGAUUCCUAACCCUAUGAACCUGAUAUGGCUAACACCAUCGUAGGGAAGCAAGGGUUUGUAUAU